Molecule: ribosomal RNA, 408 nt
Filed under: uncultured bacterium
Lineage: Bacteria
Description: bacterial SSU rRNA
Rfam family: Bacterial small subunit ribosomal RNA
Source: RNAcentral
GACGAACGCUGGCGGCGUGCUUAACACAUGCAAGUCGAACGGUGACGAGGAGCUUGCUCCUCCGAUCAGUGGCGAACGGGUGAGUAACACGUGAGUAACCUGCCCCAGACCCUGGGAUAACAGUUGGAAACAGCUGCUAAUACCGGAUACGAGACGGAGAGGCAUCUCUACCGUCUGGAAAGAUUUAUCGGUCUGGGAUGGACUCGCGGCCUAUCAGCUUGUUGGUGAGGUAAAGGCUCACCAAGGCGACGACGGGUAGCCGGCCUGAGAGGGCGACCGGCCACACUGGGACUGAGACACGGCCCAGACUCCUACGGGAGGCAGCAGUGGGGAAUAUUGCACAAUGGGCGAAAGCCUGAUGCAGCGACGCCGCGUGAGGGAUGACGGCCUGGUGUAACUACUUCUAGC